Molecule: long non-coding RNA, 237 nt
Filed under: Malus domestica (apple)
Lineage: Eukaryota; Viridiplantae; Streptophyta; Magnoliopsida; Rosales; Rosaceae
Description: long non-coding RNA (MDOM_LNC002402)
Source: RNAcentral
AGUCCGCCAAUCGGAAAGGGGGCAAAGCAGCUAUUGUCAACCUUCAAAGCAACAUGAACGUGUUGAAGAUGAUGAAAUUUCGACAUAUAGAUCAUCCAUCCCCAUCACGAUGCGCGAUUUCUUUCCUAAAGACUUCUUCAAUCACUCGGUCAAGACUCUUUGCUAUGAAAAUUGCGAGGAACAACUAUCCCGGAUCGUUUGACAAAUUCACAAAUACUCCUUGUUCGCACGAGCCUA